AGUGAACGCUGGCGGUAGGCCUAACACAUGCAAGUCGAACGGCAGCACAGGAGAGCUUGCUCUCUGGGUGGCGAGUGGCGGACGGGUGAGGAAUACAUCGGAAUCUGCCCAGUCGUGGGGGAUAACGUAGGGAAACUUACGCUAAUACCGCAUACGACCUUCGGGUGAAAGAGGGGGAUCGCAAGACCUCUCGCGAUUGGAUGAGCCGAUGUCGGAUUAGCUAGUUGGCGGGGUAAUGGCCCACCAAGGCGACGAUCCGUAGCUGGUCUGAGAGGAUGAUCAGCCACACUGGAACUGGGACACGGUCCAGACUCCUACGGGAGGCAGCAGUGGGGAAUAUUGGACAAUGGGCGCAAGCCUGAUCCAGCCAUACCGCGUGUGUGAAGAAGGCCUUCGGGUUGUAAAGCCCUUUUGUUGGGAAAGAAAUCUUUCAGGCUAAUACCCUGGGAGGAUGACGGUACCCAAAGAAUAAGCACCGGCUAACUUCGUG
This 490-nucleotide ribosomal RNA is filed under the name uncultured bacterium. RNAcentral describes it as "partial 16S ribosomal RNA". It matches the Rfam family "Bacterial small subunit ribosomal RNA", at positions 29 to 507 of the family's 1533-position model. The record is from RNAcentral.